RNAcentral lists this ribosomal RNA (467 nucleotides) under uncultured bacterium. Its description in RNAcentral is "partial 16S ribosomal RNA". It matches the Rfam family "Bacterial small subunit ribosomal RNA", at positions 28 to 506 of the family's 1533-position model. The record is from RNAcentral.
GACGAACGCUGGCGGCAUGCUUAACACAUGCAAGUCGAACGGAAAGGCCCUGCUUUUGUGGGGUGCUCGAGUGGCGAACGGGUGAGUAACACGUGAGUAACCUGCCCUUGACUUUGGGAUAACUUCAGGAAACUGGGGCUAAUACCGGAUAGGAGCUCCUGCAGCAUGGUGGGGGUUGGAAAGUUUCGGCGGUUGGGGAUGGACUCGCGGCUUAUCAGCUUGUUGGUGGGGUAGUGGCUUACCAAGGCUUUGACGGGUAGCCGGCCUGAGAGGGUGACCGGCCACAUUGGGACUGAGAUACGGCCCAGACUCCUACGGGAGGCAGCAGUGGGGAAUAUUGCACAAUGGGCGGAAGCCUGAUGCAGAAACGCCGCGUGCGGGAUGACGGCCUUCGGGUUGUAAACCGCUUUCGCCUGUGACGAAGCGUGAGUGACGGUAAUGGGUAAAGAAGCACCGGCUAACUACGU